Molecule: small RNA, 484 nt
Filed under: uncultured Glomus
Lineage: Eukaryota; Fungi; Glomeromycota; Glomeromycetes; Glomerales; Glomeraceae
Description: SSU rRNA
Rfam family: Eukaryotic small subunit ribosomal RNA
Source: RNAcentral
AGCAGCCGCGGUAAUUCCAGCUCCAAUAGCGUAUAUUAAAGUUGUUGCAGUUAAAAAGCUCGUAGUUGAAUUUCGGGAUCAAUAUUUCGGUCAUGCCGUUGGUAUGCACUGUUAUAAUUGAUUUCUCACCUUCUAAAGAACCGUAAUGCCAUUAAUUUGGUGUUACGGGGAAUUAGGACUGUUACCUUGAAAAAAUUAGAGUGUUUAAAGCAGGCUCACGCUUGAAUACAUUAGCAUGGAAUAAUGAAAUAGGACAUCCGAUUCUAUUUUGUUGGUUUCUAGGAUCGAUGUAAUGAUUAAUAGGGAUAGUUGGGGGCAUUAGUAUUCAAUUGUCAGAGGUGAAAUUCUUGGAUUUAUUGAAGACUAACUACUGCGAAAGCAUUUGCCAAGGAUGUUUUCAUUAAUCAAGAACGAAAGUUAGGGGAUCGAAGACGAUCAGAUACCGUCGUAGUCUUAACCAUAAACUAUGCCGACUAGGGAUCGG